Molecule: non-coding RNA, 189 nt
Organism: Turicibacter sp. H121
Lineage: Bacteria; Bacillati; Bacillota; Erysipelotrichia; Erysipelotrichales; Turicibacteraceae
Rfam family: 6S / SsrS RNA
About the family: E. coli 6S RNA was the first non coding RNA to be sequenced, but its function was unknown until recently.
Source: Rfam
UUAUUCCUGAAUGGUACGUAAAGUGACUAACUUUUUAAAUCCGAACAUUUCUAAUAAGGGAAUCUGAUUCUCAAAUUCGGUGUUGAAUGCCUAGCUUUUUCUACCUAGGACUCCUAAAGAAUUUGAUAAGAUACCCACCUGCUACUUAGCGGGUUUAUACUCUAGCACUUACGGCCAUUUGGGUAUCAU